This is a long non-coding RNA of Coffea arabica (coffee), 2253 nucleotides long. RefSeq lists it as uncharacterized. Lineage: Eukaryota; Viridiplantae; Streptophyta; Magnoliopsida; Gentianales; Rubiaceae. The record is from RefSeq and is a predicted model, not a curated record.
UUUUUUAAAAGUUAAACGCCCGACUCAUUAAAUGUCGUAGGCUCCACUUUCUUCUUUACUUCUUCUUCUUCUUCCUUCUAAAAAAUGAGGAGGUAGUAUUACAGUCGGAGCGAGUAGAAAAGAUAAAAAAAAGGUAGAGAUUUUCUGCUCCACUAUUGGCAGGCAGAGAAGGCAGUGGUGAAGUAGGAAGAAGAGGAGAGGGAAAAGGUAGGUUUUUAUUAGCGGUAUUGAGGUAAAAAAAUCGUUGAAUUUACUCGGUUUUUGUUGUGGUUUGAGUGGGUUGGAGUCUAGGGAUUUUAGUGGUUUUUGAGAUUUUUUUGUGGAGCAGCGUGAUUUCUAUGUUUUGGUUUUUGUAUGAUUUUUACUGAGAUCUGAGUGAUUUAACUAAUUUUACUGAGAUCCGAGUUUUUACUCUUCACUUGACUGCAGUUAGUAUUUUUGGAUUUCUUCUAGAAUUUUCGGUGAUCUAAUCUAAAAAAACUAACGGCUUUUUUGUUGUUUACUUGGAAAAUAUUUACUGAGCUUUUCCCAUAUUUUUGUACUUUUGUAAAUUUAUCUUCCUUUCUUUCCCUUGUUUUCUGGGUCUAGGGUUUGUUAAAUGAAUAUUUUCUGUGAUUGUGUGUGCUCUGUUAUAACCACCACCCCCCCCCCCCUCCAAAAAAAAACCCCAAAAAACUUUUGACUUUGGCAUUUCAGUGUUUGAAAUCAAUGAAUUGUGUUUAGAUUCAUUGUUGUCUCCACUUUGUUGGCAUGCACUGGUACAACUAGUAUAGAAUCUAUUCUCUUCAUAUGAUGACAAGGCCUAUUUUUUUUUUUGUUUUUAAUAUAGGAUAUUUUAGCCUUUCGUGACUAAUCUCUGAAAAUUGUGUAAAGUCUUGUUCCAAGAUACACAAGAAGAUAGUACACGAAAAUCGAUCGCAGGAUCUGCUGGUAAUUAUUAGGUUAUGGAAUCAAUCGGACUACCUGCGGAGGUUGAUGACAAGGCCUAUUAGCCUAGAACAUUAGUUAAUAAACCUGCCUUGGAUAAGGCUUGAUAGACUAUAUUAGCUUACUUGUCUGUAACUUUGUAUGGUAGCUGAUUGGCUUCAGCUUGUGCAUGCUAAAUGAUAUUAGGCAAAACCUCAGGGGAGGUCGGCUCUUAUCUUGUCUUUCCAAUUAAUCCACGAAAAUCAGUCUUGAGCUCCAUUCUUCCGACAACAAUGGCAGUCUCGGUUGAGCCCAACUCAAUAGAAGGUAUUUUUGACUCGUCGCUGAAUCUAGAAGAAACCCACGUCAAAGAAGGCUACAACGAGGGCUACGCCGACGGUUUAGUCUCCGGGGAGGAAGACGGCCGGCAAGUAGGCUUAAAAACCGGGUUCGAAAUCGGCGAAGAAUUGGGCUUUUACAAGGGUUGUAUUGAUGUGUGGAAUUCUGCUAUUCAGGUCGAUUCAAAUUGCUUUUCAUCUCGGGUCGUAAGAAGGAUCAAGCAAAUGGAAGAGUUACUGAGCAAGUAUCCAAUAUCCGACCCAGAAGAUGAGUCGGUUGGGGAUGUUAUGGAUUCUUUGAGGUUGAAGUUUCGGGCUAUUUGUGCCACGUUGAAUGUGAAGUUGGAGUAUAAUGGCUAUCCCAAAUCUUCUGACGGAGAAAAUAUCCAAUUUUGAGACAACUUGUCGAAGAUGGGGAUUUUGAAGAGGUCCAUACAUGUUUCCCAGCACAGGGGAGGUCAUACCACCAAACACAUUGAGGAUGGUCGCUCUUCUCCACCUGCUUGGAUGAUUGAAUCCCUCAAAGCUGUAAAAUACAUCGAUGCGGCUCAUCUCUCAGUACUCCUCAUAACAGCAGGGUUGCGGAACUUGUGGCAGGAAAAGAAAGUGCCAUUGCACAAGUAGCUAGAACUAUUAUUGGCAAGACCUGUGCUCUGACACUUUUAGUGGGAGAUGCUAGCAACUCCUGUGAAGGAUCUAUGAUUGUUGAGGCAUAUGCUGGAAUUGUAACUGUCAAAAUUCCAUAUACUUCACAGGGAAAAGGUGGUUAUAAGCCUGCAGUGCUUCAUUUUGUAGAAGUCAUACUCUUUUCCAUUUUCAUAGACCUUGUCAUCUCAUCAAUAUAACCAAAUCCAGUCCCUUCCAUAAAUGUAGCUGUGUUAAUUCUUGUUGAGUGAUUAUGUACUAUUCUUCAAUAAUGGAGAAAUGUAUCUCCACCAAAGUUCUUGAUCUCUGUCUCUAUUGAAUUUUAGUAGAGCGUUAAUUACGCUGAUAAACCUUUGGAAUUGUC